UGUGCCAAAAGGAGGGGAGUUGAGGCCUGGCAACAAAACACUGCAAGCAUCAAGGCAGAGUGGACGCCGCUGGCGACCCAGAAGGUGGAGACAGUCGGGUUUAAAUGCUCUGUGCUCCAAAUGAAUAAAAUCAGCAGCACCUGUAAAGGGGAGGAGCACAAAGACACCUGCAACCCAGCCCAUAAGGCCCAGGGCCGUAACAGUUAUCAUAAACUAGAGGUCAAGCCUGAAAUCUGGGUGUGGUGAUGACCUCUGACCUGAACCUUCAGAGACACAUAAAGACGGUUCCAAAGUCGGCCUUCUAUCAACUGACAUCAAUCAAAUCAACGGUCCAGAACGUCAUCUUGACAGAUUUCUCUGAAGAGAAACGGCCAGAGGCUGAAGCUGUGAGAUGGAUCGACACGGAAAGGGCAGAGUUAAGUUCCUAUGAACCAGUUCAGUGAAUCGGUGAUCAGGACGAUUCAUGACAGACGUCUGCAGCUCCGGCUCUCCAGUGUCGCUGACCAGCAACGUUUCAAUGCAUCACCUGGAUCAAAAAGUUAAAAGGUUGCAGGACAGAUUCUCUCUUCACCUGGUUUAGGAGAUUAUGUCUGUUUGGGUUCAGAUUAUUUUAGAUUUUGGGCUUUUACGUGCCAAUUACCACCUCCCUAAAAGUAGCUUUUAAUUAUAUUUUACAUCUGUUCUCAGGAGGACAAGGACAAGGAGGCUGUGGUGGGAAGGACCUGGACCUGGAGGAGGAGGAGAGGAUUUUCUCCGCCGAGACACAGACACGUACACGGUCACAAACACAUGGGGCCACAAGAAAGGGGAGAACCUGUUCCUCACUUUAACUGCUCAAAAUGGAAACUUUCACGUCUUCACUAUGUUUUUUUGCUAAAUAUUACAAAUACUGUUAGUGAAGAGUAGAUGUCUGAUAAUCGUUUCUGUUUCCUCUGCAGCUCCUGCAGCAGCAACUCUGGAGACGUCUCACAGAUCUUCAUCUCUAAAAGCCGGCAGUGAUCAGUUACAUUCAGCGAUUAAAGGCUGAACUCAAAAUGAAUAAAGGCUUAAUAAAAAUACAUCUGAGGUUCUGGGAAUUUUGAUUUUAACUAAAGGUAUGAUGAGAAAUUGCUGCUUUGUACUGACUGGAUUUCAAAUAAAGUAUAUGAAAUUCAAACACAUGAUCAGUUUCAGUUGUAUUUUGUUUGAAUCUAUUCUGUUAAACAGUGUUUAAAGUUGAAUGUUUUUCUGUUGGUAGGUGUGGAGAUACCCAGCUCCCGUGUCUCUUGGUUCCUUUCGGGUCCUCGUCUCUUCUGCUGUUUGUUUGUCAGCCUGUGUUUCCAGUUAUUCCAGUUGCUACUGGUUUCUGAGCUCCUAGCUUUCUGCUCACCUGUGCUGCCUGGAUUGUGUUUUCUUCUUCAUUAAAACCAUCGUCAUUAUUCAGCAACCUGGUUCCUCCGCUUCUG
This is a long non-coding RNA of Xiphophorus maculatus (southern platyfish), 1445 nucleotides long. RefSeq lists it as uncharacterized. The transcript has 3 exons. Lineage: Eukaryota; Metazoa; Chordata; Actinopteri; Cyprinodontiformes; Poeciliidae. The record is from RefSeq and is a predicted model, not a curated record.